AACGCGAAGAACCUUACCUGGGCUUGAACCGCACAGGACCAUCUUUGGAAACAGAGACUUCCCGCAAGGGACCUGUGUAGAGGUGCUGCAUGGCUGUCGUCAGCUCGUGCCGUGAGAUGUUGGGUUAAGUCCCGCAACGAGCGCAACCCCUACCCCUAGUUGCCACCGGGUAAUGCCGAGCACUCUAUGGGGACUGCACGGGUCAACCGUGAGGAAGGUGGGGAUGAUGUCAAGUCAUCAUGGCCCUUAUGCCCAGGGCUACAAGCGUGCUACAAUGGGCUACACAAAGGGUUGCAAACUCGCGAGAGCCAGCUAAUCCCAAAAAGUAGUCCUCAGUUCGGAUCGGAGUCUGCAACUCGACUCCGUGAAGUUGGAAUCGCUAGUAAUCGCGGAUCAGCCACGCCGCGGUGAAUACGUUCCCGGGCCUUGUACACACCGGUACUA
RNAcentral lists this ribosomal RNA (444 nucleotides) under uncultured bacterium. Its description in RNAcentral is "bacterial SSU rRNA". It matches the Rfam family "Bacterial small subunit ribosomal RNA", at positions 958 to 1398 of the family's 1533-position model. The record is from RNAcentral.